Molecule: long non-coding RNA, 312 nt
Filed under: Athene cunicularia (burrowing owl)
Lineage: Eukaryota; Metazoa; Chordata; Aves; Strigiformes; Strigidae
Description: lncRNA (ENSACUG00000011924.1)
Source: RNAcentral
GUUUUGCUAACUAUGCAAUUAGGAAAUUCUUCCUAGUGUCUGGUCUGGAUGUUAACUGCUGUCCGCUAGCAGAUGGAAGGACUCUAUUACCAUGGUGAUGGAAAUAUCAUAAAAAAUAGAGACAAAUAACGUAGAAAUCAGGGUCCUUUUUAUACUCUGAAGCUCCUAAAGAACCUUAUCCUUCAUUGUUGCAGAUAAUGUUCAGGUCUGCCGCUAUGCACAGACGUGACAGGGAUCACAUGCUAGGAACUCCCACCCACCCACAACCAGAACCACUCUCAUUUCUGUUUUCUUGAAAUAAAACCCUCUUCC